Molecule: non-coding RNA, 23 nt
Filed under: Arabidopsis thaliana (thale cress)
Lineage: Eukaryota; Viridiplantae; Streptophyta; Magnoliopsida; Brassicales; Brassicaceae
Source: RNAcentral
UUUUAGUACAUGCAAUGCAAUCG